UGGGGUUCGGGGCAAAGCCCCGACGCCAAAAACUUUUCUUGUAUUUUUCACUGCAGAAACGCAUACUCCUGACAUCUACAGCUCAUUACUAAUCAUUGGGGUUCGGGUCGAAGCCCCGGCGCCAAAAGCGUUUUCUUGGAUUCUUCACUGUAGAAACGCAUUCUCCUGACAAUUUCAGCUCAUUAGUAAUCAGUGGGAAUCGGGGCGAAGCCCCGACGUCAAAAGCGUUAUCUUCUAUAAUUCACUGCAGAAAGGCAUUCUCCUGGUAUAUACAUCUCAUUACUUAUCAGUGGGGUUCGGGGCGAAGCCAAAAGCGUUGUCUUACAUUCUUCACUGCAGAAAUGCAUUCUCCUGACAUCUACAGCAUAUUAGUAAUCAGUGGGGUUCGGGGCAAAGCCCCGAC
Biomphalaria pfeifferi is the source of this 403-nucleotide non-coding RNA. The record is from the annotation of a GenBank genome assembly. NCBI's taxonomy places the organism in Eukaryota, Metazoa, Mollusca, Gastropoda, Planorbidae.